GUUGCAAUAGUAAUCCUGCUCAGUAUGAGAGGAACUGCAGGUUCAGAUCCCUGGUGUGUGCGCUUCGCUGAGGAGCCGCUGGCAUGAGGCUACCAUCUGUGGUCCUGUGACUGAAGGCCUCUAAGUCAGUAUCCCGCCUAGAUUUAAC
This 148-nucleotide non-coding RNA is filed under the name Amazona aestiva (blue-fronted amazon). RNAcentral's name for it is "Eukaryotic large subunit ribosomal RNA". It matches the Rfam family "Eukaryotic large subunit ribosomal RNA", at positions 3010 to 3158 of the family's 3401-position model. Lineage: Eukaryota; Metazoa; Chordata; Aves; Psittaciformes; Psittacidae. The record is from Rfam by way of RNAcentral.